RNAcentral lists this ribosomal RNA (253 nucleotides) under uncultured bacterium. RNAcentral describes it as "partial 16S ribosomal RNA". It matches the Rfam family "Bacterial small subunit ribosomal RNA", at positions 524 to 776 of the family's 1533-position model. The record is from RNAcentral.
UACGUAGGAGGCAAGCGUUGUCCGGAAUUACUGGGUGUAAAGCGCGUGUAGGUGGUGGGCCAAGUCUGUGGUGAAAUCGCCCGGCUCAACUGGGCGAGGUCCGUGGAAACUGGUCGACUGGAGGACGGUAGAGGCGAGUGGAAUUCCCGGUGUAGUGGUGAAAUGCGUAGAGAUCGGGAGGAACACCAGUGGCGAAGGCGGCUCGCUGGGCCGGUCCUGACACUGAGACGCGAAGGCGUGGGGAGCGAACGGG